RNAcentral lists this ribosomal RNA (460 nucleotides) under uncultured bacterium. Its description in RNAcentral is "partial 16S ribosomal RNA". It matches the Rfam family "Bacterial small subunit ribosomal RNA", at positions 338 to 795 of the family's 1533-position model. The record is from RNAcentral.
CCUACGGGUGGCAGCAGUGAGGAAUAUUGGUCAAUGGGCGCGAGCCUGAACCAGCCAAGCCGCGUGAGGGAAGACGGUCCUCUGGAUUGUAAACCUCUUUUGCCGGGGCGCAAAAGACGCCACGCGUGGCGUUCCGAGAGUACCCGAAGAAAAUGCAUCGGCUAACUCUGUGCCAGCAGCCGCGGUAAUACGGAGGAUUCAAGCGUUAUCCGGAUGUAUUGGGUUUAAAGGGAGCGUAGGCGGUCGGAUAAGUCAGAGGUGAAAUCCCGGGGCUCAACUUCGGAAUUGCUUCUGAUACUGUUCGGCUAGAGAGUAGUUGCGGUAGGCGGAAUGUAUGGUGUAGCGGUGAAAUGCGUAGAGAUCAGACAGAACACCGAUGGCGAAGGCAGCUUGCCAGGCUACUUCUGACGUUGAGGCACGAAAGCGUGGGGAACAAACAGGAUUAGAUACCCCAGUAGUC